ACACACACACACACACAAAUGUACAUACAAUUCCAGGUUGCUCACAGACCCCCUCUAGGAGAUGUCACUGUCGCUCAUUCGUAUUUCCGGUUCUACUCCUCUUCCGGGCACACUGGAGAAUUACACUUCCUUGCUGACUUGAGAUAAGUCACAGCUUUGGCCAAUGAAGUGUGAAUGGAAGUUUUCAGAACCUUUAAGAGCCUGUACGCAAUUUGCCAUGCUUUCUCUUUUUGCUUUGUCACCAAAACCUGUGUGUUCCAGAGAGCGACUACUCUGUCUGCGUGGGUCCUGGAGAGAGGAGGAUGCAGAGCACAGCACUUAGCCAACCUGCAAUGGACACGUAGAAUCCUCCUUACUGUCUUGUGUUCAAUGCUGAAGACCUGGUGUCCAUGCCUAACAUAACCUGAAGGUGCCUCUUGAAUGGAUCACAUUUGGCUUUCCUUAUGUCCUUGCUCACUAUCAUGGCUACCACGAGAGCCAAGGCAACCCACAGAGAUGGACUUGAAGUGAGAAAUCUACUCUGACCUUUGCCAGAACAUCCAGCUCAGAUUUUGGCCUAGAAACCUCAAGAAAGGCUCUGGCCUAGACUUUCCCCUUGUUCCUGUCUUCUGGCUCUUGACUGACACUGGUGCUUUCCCCCUGUGGUGCUGCAUGGUGUGUGGUGACUACCUCACUGGGCCCUAAAACUUCUAAAAUCAUCAGGAGAUAUCACUGAAAAGGUUUCAAAACAAAGCCAUAAUCUCUAGAAAUGUGUCCUUGAUGGGUUGGUCUUCAUUUGCCUGAAGAUGCCGCCUUGCUUUCUCAUUGGAUGGUCUCUAAAGAGAGAAAGAAGAAAGAAAAGGAAAAACUGUGAAGAAAUGAUGUAAGAUGAAAGUGACAAGAGUGGCUGUUCAAUGUCAUUUCACCUUAUGAAUUCUGAAGAUUUUCAACGUGAAAACCAGGCUCCCAAGGCCGUCGUAGUUGUUCACUAUUUCUUAACCUUGGUUACAUGUUAGAAAUGCUUGGGGAGGUUUUAAAAUUCCCCAUGCCCAGACCAAUUAAAUCAGAAUCUCUGAAUAGGAAACCCAGACAGCAGCAUUUUUAAGGCUUCCCGGGUGAUUCCAAUGUGUAGAAUCACUGCUCUAACAAGACAUGUUAGCUCCUCCCUCAGACUCUAACGCUGAUCAGCUGGGGUAUAAGCUUUUCUGAGUAGGAAACAGCUGAGUAUAAGCAAGGGCAUUUCUUUAGGGGCAGCAAGGUACAAAGUAAGGUUAAGCAGCGACCCAGCAGCGAAUAAAGUUACACUUUAAUUUCGAAAUAAAACCUCUAAUUUUAUUGAGUCAAGCUUCAUUUUAUCUUCUAGCUUUUUUCUCUUUUUCUGUCCCAUAAAAUUAUAGUGAUAAAACAGUAAUGUUAAUGGGAUCAAUACUGUUUAUUAUUAAAGGUGGAUGUCAUACCUUUUCUUGACAGUCCUCAAUGAACAACCACAGCUAAA
Long non-coding RNA from Gorilla gorilla gorilla (western lowland gorilla), 1474 nucleotides. RefSeq lists it as uncharacterized. The record is from RefSeq and is a predicted model, not a curated record. Lineage: Eukaryota; Metazoa; Chordata; Mammalia; Primates; Hominidae. The transcript has 5 exons.